RNAcentral lists this ribosomal RNA (433 nucleotides) under uncultured bacterium. Its description in RNAcentral is "partial 16S ribosomal RNA". It matches the Rfam family "Bacterial small subunit ribosomal RNA", at positions 29 to 507 of the family's 1533-position model. The record is from RNAcentral.
AACGAACGCUGGCGGCAUGCCUAACACAUGCAAGUCGAACGAUGCCUUCGGGCAUAGUGGCGCACGGGUGCGUAACGCGUGGGAAUCUGCCUUUCGGUUCGGAAUAACUCAGGGAAACUUGAGCUAAUACCGGAUAACGUCGCAAGACCAAAGAUUUAUCACCGAAAGAUGAGCCCGCGUAGGAUUAGCUAGUUGGUGAGGUAAAGGCUCACCAAGGCGACGAUCCUUAGCUGGUCUGAGAGGAUGAUCAGCCACACUGGGACUGAGACACGGCCCAGACUCCUACGGGAGGCAGCAGUGGGGAAUAUUGGACAAUGGGCGAAAGCCUGGUCCAGCAAUGCCGCGUGAGUGAUGAAGGCCUUAGGGUUGUAAAGCUCUUUUACCCGGGAAGAUAAUGACGGUACCGGGAGAAUAAGCCCCGGCUAACUCCGUG